RNAcentral lists this long non-coding RNA (890 nucleotides) under Homo sapiens (human). RNAcentral's name for it is "HSALNT0023068". The record is from RNAcentral. Lineage: Eukaryota; Metazoa; Chordata; Mammalia; Primates; Hominidae.
GCGUUCAGCACCGCCGCCAUCUCCGGCUGCUGCACCUCCUCAGCGGGGACAGACGGCAGCCACGUAUCGACUUCCUGCUGACCUCUGACCUCCGCUUACCGACACCGGAACUUCCGCUGCUGAGGAGGCUGGAGGGCUCCGGGAGAGGGGCUGAGGCCUGGCGCCCCACCCCCUCCGGAAUCGUCAGUUGCCCUGGCUCAGCGACCACCCUUCAGGCUCCCCAACUCCCGUUGGUCCCGAACUCCCCUCCCCCGCACCCCAUCCUUUCGGAUCCCAGUUGCUCCAGGUGGGCGGGUGCUACCACCCCCACCGCUCGGUUCGGUGCUGCGGCUGUCAGUGCCCAGCAGGGGCGGGGUCAGUGGAGCCCCGCGCGGGGGUCGGAGUAGGGAGGAUUGACGAGGUCGGCCAGCACCCAACCCUCCAGACAGUCCUGCUGUGCCACCCAGGCUGGAGUGUAGUGGUGCAAUUCGGUUCACUGCAACCUCUGCCUCCCGGGUUCAAGCAACUCUCCUGCCUCAGCCUCCCAAGUAGUUGGGAUUACAGGUGCUCACCACCACGCCCGGCUAAUUUUUGUAAACUUAGUAGAGUCAGAGUUUCCCCAUGUUGGCCAGGCUGGUCUCAAACUCCUGACCUCAUGUGAUCUGCCCGCCUCAGCCUCCCCAAAGUGCUGGGAUUACAGGUGAGAGCCACCGCGCCCGGCGUAUUUUGUAAUUCUCUAUAAAGAAAAGAGAAAGAUCAGUCUUUUCUCCAGCAUGGCUGAUUAAAUUUGUUUCUUAAUAAUUGUUUAUAAAUUUAUUUCAGCAUCACAACUCAUUACUGAUAUUGUUAACGUACUUUUUUAGGGUUAUUGUUCAGUUUGGGAAACCUCUCUCAAGUUUCAUGGAUGUGCU